CAUAGAGAAAAUAUAAACAUGCAUAGAGAAAACCUAAACAUGCAUAGAGAAAAUAUAAACAUGCAUAGAGAAAACAAACAUGCAUAGAGAAAAUAUAAACAUGCAUAGAGAAAACGAGAUGAUUCUGCAGAGCUUCUCUCAAUAUUUGUGGAUCUUCCACGCAUUCUCCUGCAUUAGUUGUUUUCAUGCGUGACGUAGGCUCAUCUUGGGUCUCUCUCUUUCUCUCUCUCUCUCUCUCUCUCUCUGUCUCUGUCUCUGUCUGUCUCUUCAGGGUAGAAUGACAUAAUCAUUAUAAACAUCCUGCAUAGUGCUUGGGUUCUCCUGCAGGGUAGAUUGACAUAUUAAUCUAACAUCUUACUCCAGCUACGCAGAUACAUAUAUAAACAUUUUAAUGCUUUCCAAAACAGUAACCUAAUAAUAAUAAUAAUAAUACAAUUCAAAGUACUUGGUGCUUGGACCCCUAAAAACUGCACAUAAUUCCAACCUUGUGUAUAUUCCGGUGUCCAGUGUUCCUGGGUUCUGGAUCCACCUCAUUUGUGACCAGGAUAAAGUGAAUGAAUGAAAGUGCACCGGACAGCCCGGAGUGCAAAAUUUGCAUCCCUGAUGGUUUCUGGAUGAACAUUAUCAUUACCAAUUCCAUGUUGUUAAAAGAAAAAAAAGAGAAAGAAAUGUGAGUGCAUCCUGUGCUAAAAUUUGACAAGAACGUCAGAAGCUACUCAGCUCAGAUGAUAGAAUGACUGUUGGAGGUUGUUAGAAUAUCACACUCACAAGAAGAGAUACGCGCUUUUGAACUGAUUGAAUUUAUUUUUAAUGUAAUUUAUUUAUUUACAAAGAUGCUCACUGUUAAUAUAAGUUGUACCAUAAUUAAAUGAUCCAAAAAGCAGCAUCUGUGGAAAAAGACAGCUUUUUUUAAGGGGGUGCAAACGUUUGCAGUCUAUUUCUUGGGAAAUUUUAGCCUUGUUCUAUCUAGGAUGCACUGAUGUAGGCCAAAGGUGUCCAAACUUUUAUCAGUGGGAUUAAUACCAGAGGACUGGUCAUGUAAAUAAAUUUGCAAGUGUAGUCAUCAAAAUGUAAUAUAUAUAUAUAUAUAUAUAUAUAUAUAUAUAUAUAUAUAUAUAUAUAUAUGUAUGUAUGUAUAUAUAUGAUGUGUGUGUAUUUUUUUCCAAAUGCAAAUAAUGAGAAUAUAAAUAAUAAAUAGAAAGCAAAAUGAGUGUGAAUCAAAAUGAAUCUUUUUUAAAAAUUCAUUUUGAUUGGACUCUCAUUAGAUGCAUUUGCAAAAAAAAAAAAUGUCAUGUAUUAAUACAUUUUAAUAUUAUACUUUUGGAUUUGAUUCUUUUAUGUGAAAUCUUUGGCACAAAAUUAAAAAAGGCUCUUGCAUUUUAGCUAACUGUGUUAGCGCAGUGUGCUGCCACCUUCAGGUGAAAGCUGAAAGAAAAUUGCACCAUGUUGGCCGGACAUACCCGUGGGCCAGUUAACAUUUGGAUUUGGCCCUGGGGCCAGACUUUGCAUGCCCCUGAUAUAGGCCAACAUACAAGCCAAAACUCAUGAGAAUGUUGAGGAGAGAAAAGAAAUUCCCAGAAACGUCUUCAGCAGGCAGAAUUCCGAAUUUGAUGAAAUACAAGGUAUGCAAUUCAUGCAUCCCUAACCACCCCUCCAUCCCCCACCCCAAGGGUGUAUCCCCUCACCUCUGUAAUAAAAGAUGUCAGAUGAAAUAUCUCGCCUAAUAGGGUUGAACUGUACAGCCUCCGAGCUCCUUCACCACUCCUUUUGUCCUGUAUUGGACCGAGGUACUAACGCUCCUUCUGUAACAGAUAUUUCGGAGAAGAGCCACAGUGCUGUCUUAUUUCUGUCCUGCAUGCUGUUUCUUUUGCAAAGCCGUCUGUUGUCUCUGUAAAGCAGGAACGCAGGAACGAGCCAUAUUUCUGUGCGCUUUGUAGUCGAAACACUACAAAGCAUUGUAUCCUGAGCCAUAUUCGAUGACGCAUUCAAUAUAACCUGCCCACAUUAUCUCCAUGUAAAUAAUAAAACACAGAGGAACGUGCUGUUUUAGGAAAUAAAUCAACAACAGGGUGGUGUCAUAUGUCCUGACACAAAACAGGGUUACUGUUACAACUCAGAAGUUGGUUAUUUUCCAAUAACAGCACGUCCCAAUGUGUUGUUUUGCUCGUAUACUAGAGCAAUUUGCCAACGUAUACAAUAUCGCCAACAAAAAUAUAAUCCGUAUAUGAUUGUUAACAAUUCUGUAAACUGUCAAAGAAAUUUAAGGGGACUAGAACAUGUAGAUUUGUAACUUGUUAAAACCUUUAAGCAAAUUAACUGUUUUAAAUUGUUAAAAUGUUUCUUACACUAUUAUUAUUAUUAUUAUUAUAAUAAUAAUAAUAAUAAUAAUAAUAAUAAUAAUAAUAAAGCCAUAUAUGCUUUCCUAAAAGAAAGAAAAAGAAAAUGGUAUCAUGUAAGACUACAGCUUGGCAAGUUAAAGACCAAUUUUUCAGACCAGUAUAUAACCAUCAAUGUUUUUAUGGGUAUUUAGCUUAAUUCUGUGAUUUGGUUUUUAUGGCCAUUGUGAGUUGAAUUCUUUCAAAAUCCCAAAACUGAUUAAAUGAAAGGUAAACAACUAACCAUCACAAAUGAGGAGAAUCCUAAAGUGGUUCUAUGCCUCUGGGAUCUUACAUUGAGAUGCUGGAUCAAUACUGUGUAAUGCAUUACAUAGAGCUUUAGAUGUACAGUAUUAGGUUGUUUUGGUGUCAUGUUUUGGUUUAUAUCCUAUCUUACAUGGCUUGUAAAUCAUGUUAUGCGGGGAUUUAAACCAUUCCCUAACUGCUAGAUGCUGUAUACAUAAUGCUGUAUGCUUGCAGCUAGCACUGCACCAAUCAACCAGGGAUAAAGGAAGGUCCUUCCUGCUCAGAUAGAAGGCUACAUGUGGCCUCCUGGAUCCAGGGCUAUGGAUGUUCACUGUGAUAUGAAUGUGCUAUCUCCCAACAAAAUAGCAUGCUCAGGUGCCCAGAUGGCCUUCCUUUUAAUAAAUAAGAGAAGAUCUAGAGAGCUCUGCAGAAUCUUGUGGUUUUUAUAUUUAUAAUCAUCUUAUACUGUUUGCAUCAUUCUAGCACAGGAAAACACGGACAACCAUUUCCAGUUCUCCAGCUUUUUAAACACGGUGCUCUGGGUAUCAAGGCAUGGGUAUUUAGACAC
Long non-coding RNA from Ictalurus punctatus (channel catfish), 3189 nucleotides. The record is from Ensembl. Lineage: Eukaryota; Metazoa; Chordata; Actinopteri; Siluriformes; Ictaluridae.